Molecule: ribosomal RNA, 406 nt
Filed under: uncultured bacterium
Lineage: Bacteria
Description: partial 16S ribosomal RNA
Rfam family: Bacterial small subunit ribosomal RNA
Source: RNAcentral
AAUGAACGCUGGCGGCAGGCCUAACACAUGCAAGUCGAACGAGUGGCGGACGGGUGAGUAACGUCUGGGAAACUGCCCGAUGGAGGGGGAUAACUACUGGAAACGGUAGCUAAUACCGCAUACCAUCGGAUGUGCCCAGAUGGGAUGAGCUAGUAGGUGGGGUAAUGGCUCACCUAGGCGACGAUCCGUAGCUGGUCUGAGAGGAUGACCGGCCAAACUGGAACGGAGACACGGUCCAGACGCCUACGGGAGGCAGCAGUGGGGAAUAUUGCACAAUGGGCGCAAGCCUGAUGAAGCAAUGCCGCGUGUAUGAAGAAGGCCUGCGGGUUGUAAAGUACUUUCAGCGAGGAGGCGUUACUCGCAGAAGAAGCACCGGCUAACUACGUGCCAGCAGCCGCGGUAAUAC